CAGUCGCCACGGGAAUACGAAGGGGGCUAGCGUUGUUCGGAAUUACUGGGCGUAAAGGGCGCGUAGGCGGCCAUUCAAGUUAGAUGUGAAAGCCCUGGGCUCAACCUAGGAAUUGCAUUUGAUACUGUUUGGCUUGAGUUCGGGAGAGGUGAGUGGAAUUCCCAGUGUAGAGGUGAAAUUCGUAGAUAUUGGGAAGAACACCAGUGGCGAAGGCGGCUCACUGGACCGACACUGACGCUGAGGCGCGAAAGCGUGGGGAGCAAACAGGAUUAGAUACCCCCGUAGUCCCUGUCUCUUAUCC
RNAcentral lists this ribosomal RNA (301 nucleotides) under uncultured bacterium. RNAcentral's name for it is "partial 16S ribosomal RNA". It matches the Rfam family "Bacterial small subunit ribosomal RNA", at positions 509 to 809 of the family's 1533-position model. The record is from RNAcentral.